UUGAACGCUGGCGGCAGGCCUAACACAUGCAAGUCGCGCGGAUGAAGGGAGCUUGCUCCUGGAUUCAGCGGCGGACGGGUGAGUAAUGCCUAGGGAUCUGCCUGGUAGUGGGGGAUAACGUCCGGAAACGGGCGCUAAUACCGCAUACGUCCUGAGGGAGAAAGUGGGGGAUCUUCGGACCUCACGCUAUCAGAUGAGCCUAGGUCGGAUUAGCUAGUUGGUGGGGUAAAGGCCUACCAAGGCGACGAUCCGUAACUGGUCUGAGAGGAUGAUCAGUCACACUGGAACUGAGACACGGUCCAGACUCCUACGGGAGGCAGCAGUGGGGAAUAUUGGACAAUGGGCGAAAGCCUGAUCCAGCCAUGCCGCGUGUGUGAAGAAGGUCUUCGGAUUGUAAAGCACUUUAAGUUGGGAGGAAGGGCAGUAAGUUAAUACCUUGCUGUUUUGACGUUACCAACAGAAUAAGCACCGGCUAACUUCGUG
RNAcentral lists this ribosomal RNA (483 nucleotides) under uncultured bacterium. Its description in RNAcentral is "partial 16S ribosomal RNA". It matches the Rfam family "Bacterial small subunit ribosomal RNA", at positions 30 to 507 of the family's 1533-position model. The record is from RNAcentral.